RNAcentral lists this long non-coding RNA (331 nucleotides) under Setaria viridis. Its description in RNAcentral is "long non-coding RNA (SVIR_LNC003594)". Lineage: Eukaryota; Viridiplantae; Streptophyta; Magnoliopsida; Poales; Poaceae. The record is from RNAcentral.
ACCAGCCUUGGAUGGCCGACGCGUGGACAUCCCAGCAAUCCGGGCCCUGCUUGCCCCUGCUCGCCCGGCUCCCAACCGCGACACGAGGACAUGGCGCUCGUCAUCGUACGCGCUAGACCCGGACGUGCUCCCGGCCUUCGUAUCGGCUGUCUCGGACGCGCACCCCCACCGACAGAACAUCGCGCACGGCGUCCCACCAGCGCAGCACCGUGGCCCCGCUCGUCCCACAAAUCAUCGCCGACGCGCUCGGCCGCGUGCGCGAUCAGGGCUCAUCUGUCAGUGCCACACUCGUUGACACCACGCACUCCGGCCUGGCGGCCUGUGAUGGACG